RNAcentral lists this transfer RNA (80 nucleotides) under Sphingomonas sp. Leaf208. RNAcentral describes it as "tRNA-Lys". It matches the Rfam family "tRNA". Rfam says of the family: Transfer RNA (tRNA) molecules are approximately 80 nucleotides in length. Their secondary structure includes four short double-helical elements and three loops (D, anti-codon, and T loops). Lineage: Bacteria; Pseudomonadati; Pseudomonadota; Alphaproteobacteria; Sphingomonadales; Sphingomonadaceae. The record is from RNAcentral.
GGAGACGACGUUGAAAACAUUGGAAAAACUGCUGACUCUUAAUCAGCGGGUCCUUGGUUCGAGCCCAAGUGCGUCCACCA